Molecule: ribosomal RNA, 468 nt
Filed under: uncultured bacterium
Lineage: Bacteria
Description: partial 16S ribosomal RNA
Rfam family: Bacterial small subunit ribosomal RNA
Source: RNAcentral
GACGAACGCUGGCGGCGUGCCUAACACAUGCAAGUCGAACGGAAAGGCCCUGCUUUUGUGGGGUGCUCGAGUGGCGAACGGGUGAGUAACCCGUGAGUAACCUGCACUUGACUUUGGGAUAUCUUCAGGAAACUGGGGCUAAUACCGGCUAGGAGCUCCUGCUGCUUGGUGGGGGUUGGAAAGUUUCGGCGGUUGGGGAUGGACUCGCGGCUUAUCAGCUUGUUGGGGUGGUAGUGGCUUAGCAAGGCUUUGACGGGUAGCCGGCCUGAGAGGGUGACCGGCCACAUUGGGACUGGGCUACGGCCCAGACUCCAACGGGAGGCAGCGGUGGAGAAGAUUACACAAGGGACUGGGGCCUGAUGCAACAACGCCGCGUGCGGGAUGACGUGCAUCGGGUUGGAAACCGCAUUCGCCUGAGACGAAGCGUUAGUGACGGUAACGGGUAAAGAAGCACCGGCUAACUACGUG